UGAAUGCCGUACGCUAAGCACCUCAUGAUCCUAAUCAUCACGGAGAGACAGAAAAUUCUCAGCCGUUUCUCUGCAAGAACUGAAGUAACAGAACAGAACUACGCCAUGGCAAAGUUACACCUGAGAGUGGAUAACCCAAAGAUCUAUACACAGAUAGAAACUCUCUAUACUAUUAAGACCUGAAGAUUCAAAAACUACCACCAAGGUGUGCAAACAUGUCUCUUGAGACUAAAUUAAGACCAUCAGGAGCUUCACUACUAUAAUCAAAGCAUUCAAAAUUCAAUAGCCAUUACAAUUACAAUAAAUAGCAAUACUUUGCCACUAAUAACAAGAAGGAUACAAUCUUACAUUCUUACCCAGAGAUCCAAGUUGCUUGUAUAUGACAGAACUAACCAAAAAAAAAUUGUGGCUGCUAAUGAAGUAGCUAUAGAAUCAGCUAGCAGGAGGAGAUCCGGAAGUACUACUAGCACUGAAAAAGGGGCGUAGCGCAAAGAUGCAAAGUAA
This 504-nucleotide long non-coding RNA is filed under the name Sorghum bicolor (sorghum). Its description in RNAcentral is "long non-coding RNA (SBIC_LNC001317)". The record is from RNAcentral. Lineage: Eukaryota; Viridiplantae; Streptophyta; Magnoliopsida; Poales; Poaceae.